UACGGAGGGAGCUAGCGUUGUUCGGAAAUACUGGGCGUAAAGCGAACGUAGGCGGCUACGUAAGUCAGGGGUGAAAUCCCGGGGCUCAACCCCGGAACUGCCUUUGAAACUGCAUGGCUAGGAUCCUGGAGAGGCGAGUGGAAUUCCGAAUGCAGAGGUGAAAUUCGUAGAUAUUCGGCAGAACACCAGUGGCGAAGGCGACUCGCUGGACAGGUAUUGACGAUUAGGUUCGAAAGCGUGGGGAGCAAACAGG
This 253-nucleotide unclassified non-coding RNA is filed under the name uncultured Sphingomonadaceae bacterium. Its description in RNAcentral is "contains 16S-23S intergenic spacer region". It matches the Rfam family "Bacterial small subunit ribosomal RNA", at positions 524 to 776 of the family's 1533-position model. The record is from RNAcentral. Lineage: Bacteria; Pseudomonadati; Pseudomonadota; Alphaproteobacteria; Sphingomonadales; Sphingomonadaceae.